UUAAUUUUUAAAAUCUGAUUGUAUGGAUGAUAAUUCUCCUAAUUCGGAAAUUCUGACGGAAUAUGUUUAUCAACAUAUAGAAAAAUAACAAAAGUUAUCGAACCAUACAAGAAUAUACAUUCUGAUAUAAUAUAUAUUUUGAUUUAAUAAACUUUUUGAAGAAUAACAAAAUUUUGGAUACAAGUUUAAAAAAAUUUCAUUACAUUCUUGGAAAAGAAAAAAAAUUAUAUACUAUUCUAUGAGAAUGUUACACUUAUUAAUAGCAAAGAAAUACAAAUAUAUAAAUCAUUCUACCAGAAUAUACUAUUAUUCUGCUAGAUUUAGAAGAUUGGUGGUCCUUGUUCAUCUUCAUCCCGUAGAAUAACUCACUCGAUGUCCCCUCUUCCCUCUAUAUUUUCCUGUCAAAAAUCAAAAUCAAACACCAAUUCCUCCCAAUGAUUUCUGUUCAAACAAUAAAAAGAAUGUUGUAGCUAAUCAAUUAAAAUAUAACAGCUAAAGCGUAUAAUUAUUCCAAGUUUCACUAUGACCAAAAUCACACUCAAAUUCUGUUUCUCCUAUUGGUCCUUCCAUUGCAGCCAUUCUACCUCCUGAACACUCAAUAAAAGAUUAAACUCAAAUAAAAUCAACACUCCAUUCUAAAAUAAUAUAUACAAUGAUAAAAACUUUUUGUGAGAUAUGGAUGAUCAAGAAACAUCCAUCAAUUCACUAUAAAACAUCAACACCAUAUAUCCAUUCCUUCAUCAGUUUGUGUCAAAACAAACAAAGAAAAAGGAAUUUUCAUUGUUCUUCUGUUCCUCUCUAUCAAUUUCUGUCAAAAACAAAUCCAAACAUCCAUCUUUAUCCUACAUUGAUUUCUAUCCCAAACAAAAAAAAAACGAGGCUACCCCAUGCUCAUCUGUUUCACUGAUAUUUCAAUGGAGCUAUUGCUAGAUCAAGGAAAAAAAAGAGAAAAAGAACAGGGGAGCUUCCGUAGUAGCCCCCGUCCACGUGCCUAUCAACCACUGAGAGCAAGACCUAUUGAAGUUGGUGUUUCCCCGGAGCAAAACCAGUCAGCGACAACCCCCUGUUUCAUCCGAGUUUUCUCACUUCACCAUUCUAUCUUCUUCCCCACCUAGCCCCGUUUCAGUAUUUUCAGUUCCAGAACAAAAAUAAAAGGGAAAUCUUCACCGGAGCUCCAGGAGAAAAACCCAUCAACGAAACCAACAACAAGAUUAGUGAAUUCAUCUGGAUCAAUCACUUCAGCACUAUUGUACAAAGAAAAAGGAAACAACGGUAUAUAGUGGAAUGGAAAAUAAAAAGCCCUAAUUUUUAGAUUGAAAUUGCAUGGUGGUUCUUCAAUUGAAAUGCCGAUUUUUGCUUAGAUAAGGGCAGCGUCGGAAAAACUCCUUGGGUGCUAAAACAAAAUAGUAGAAAAGAAUUGAACGAAUAAAAGAAAGAAAUGAAAUCGAACCUUGGGUUUGAUCAGGGAAGAGGAACAGAUGAACAAAAGAAACACGAAUAAAGUAGACAAUCCUCCAAUGGCUCAUCUGUCGAGCGGAGGGAAGAGGAAUUCAGAGGCGAGUCGGAUGGCUCUAUGAGGGAAUUCCAUCGUGGAGAAGAGGGAGAAGGGGUCGUCAAGGCCGUCGAUUCUUCCUAGGCCUCAUGAUUUUCUCAUCGACAACCACCGAUCGGGAAUGACAGCAGCGGUGGUUGAUGAUUUAGGGGGCAUUUUGCUGAUUUAGUCAACGAAAAGGAUGAAGAAUAAUGGAAACAGCGACGGGAAGGAUCGGAAAAGCACCUCUAGUGCCUGAAAUUUUUUUAAGAAGGAGAAGGCAAAGGCAGUGGCGGCGAUGGGUUGUUUUAUGCCGCCUCUUGACUGGUUUGGUAGCAAAACACGCAGGGAGGGAACUCACAAUAAUUUUGUAGUCCAUUCUAAUUUUGC
This 1921-nucleotide long non-coding RNA is filed under the name Lactuca sativa (garden lettuce). RNAcentral's name for it is "long non-coding RNA (LSAT_LNC005710)". The record is from RNAcentral. Lineage: Eukaryota; Viridiplantae; Streptophyta; Magnoliopsida; Asterales; Asteraceae.